GCGCCCUUAGCUCAGUUGGAUAGAGCGUCGGACUACGAAUCCGUAGGUCGGGGGUUCGAAUCCCUCAGGGCGCGCCA
RNAcentral lists this transfer RNA (77 nucleotides) under Thermodesulfovibrionia bacterium. Its description in RNAcentral is "tRNA-Arg". It matches the Rfam family "tRNA". Rfam says of the family: Transfer RNA (tRNA) molecules are approximately 80 nucleotides in length. Their secondary structure includes four short double-helical elements and three loops (D, anti-codon, and T loops). Further hydrogen bonds mediate the characteristic L-shaped molecular structure. tRNAs have two regions of fundamental functional importance: the anti-codon, which is responsible for specific mRNA codon recognition, and the 3' end, to which the tRNAs corresponding amino acid is attached (by aminoacyl-tRNA synthetases). tRNAs cope with the degeneracy of the genetic code in two manners: having more than one tRNA (with a specific anti-codon) for a particular amino acid; and 'wobble' base-pairing, i.e. permitting non-standard base-pairing at the 3rd anti-codon position. Lineage: Bacteria; Pseudomonadati; Nitrospirota; Thermodesulfovibrionia. The record is from RNAcentral.